RNAcentral lists this long non-coding RNA (650 nucleotides) under Brassica napus (rape). Its description in RNAcentral is "long non-coding RNA (BNAP_LNC018756)". The record is from RNAcentral. Lineage: Eukaryota; Viridiplantae; Streptophyta; Magnoliopsida; Brassicales; Brassicaceae.
UUUUCUCGAGUCUGUUCAGCUCCGGCCACCGGCGGUGGCGCGCGUGAUCACCGGAGGCAGCUUCCUCUCCUCUUCAUUUUUGUAAUUUGCUCUGGUUUGCCCUUUUUCUUUGUCAUUGUCGUUUUGCUCGGUUCCGUGGGCGGUGCUCCGGUUCGGUUUCUCUAGAUUUGCUCCGGGGAAGUUUAGAUCCGUAGCUUGGGACUUCUGUUCUGGAGUUUUGGCACGGCGGUGAGGGUUCUUGGGCUGCCGGAGUCGGCUUUUAGGGUGAACGUUUCGGUGGAUCUAGGUUUACUCCUUCUCGGUCCUUUCGAAGCUUUCCGUGUUGUUGGCAGGUGGGUCCGUCGGCAUCUCACUCCUUGAUGAUAGGAGUUUCAAGGCUCCUGAUCAAAUGUCGUAGAAUAAAAGAUGUCAAACCAAUUCUAACUGAUUCUAAAGCAAAGGGAAUGCAAGACCGUAUUUAAUCUAAGUGCUAUCAAUUGGUGAGAUGAUUUUUUAACUAGAAUGCUACUAAAUUGCAAUAAAGGACAAAGCUUUCUUUCUUAUGAGAUAAGAGAAAUCAUGGGCUAAAGGAAUUGACCUUGGGUGAUCAAGUUUCAAUCUAAAGGUGUUAACUUUCAACCAAUCUUACUACCUUAAACCUAGACACCAUC